GACGAACGCUGGCGGCGUGCCUAAUACAUGCAAGUAGAACGCUGAAGGAGGAGCUUGCUUCUCUGGAUGAGUUGCGAACGGGUGAGUAACGCGUAGGUAACCUGCCUGGUAGCGGGGGAUAACUAUUGGAAACGAUAGCUAAUACCGCAUAAGAGUAGAUGUUGCAUGACAUUUGCUUAAAAGGUGCAAUUGCAUCACUACCAGAUGGACCUGCGUUGUAUUAGCUAGUUGGUGGGGUAACGGCUCACCAAGGCGACGAUACAUAGCCGACCUGAGAGGGGGAUCGGCCACACUGGGACUGAGACACGGCCCAGACUCCUACGGGAGGCAGCAGUAGGGAAUCUUCGGCAAUGGACGGAAGUCUGACCGAGCAACGCCGCGGGAGGGAAGAAGGUUUUCGGAUCGUAAAGCUCUGUUGUAAGAGAAGAACGAGCGUGAGAGUGGAAAGUUCACACUGUGACGGUAUCUUACCAGAAAGGGACGGCUAACUACGUG
This 495-nucleotide ribosomal RNA is filed under the name uncultured bacterium. Its description in RNAcentral is "partial 16S ribosomal RNA". It matches the Rfam family "Bacterial small subunit ribosomal RNA", at positions 28 to 507 of the family's 1533-position model. The record is from RNAcentral.